This 1418-nucleotide long non-coding RNA is filed under the name Piliocolobus tephrosceles (Ugandan red Colobus). RNAcentral's name for it is "lncRNA (ENSPTEG00000011673.1)". Lineage: Eukaryota; Metazoa; Chordata; Mammalia; Primates; Cercopithecidae. The record is from RNAcentral.
AAAAAUACAUGAAAAUGAAAUAAUAAAAAAUAAUAACAAAGAGUUAAAUGCAUUACUAAAAGGUUUAAAAGUGCAAGAAGAAAAAAACGAACAAACUGUAGAUAUGUUAAAAGCCAAUCUACAAAGUAAUGAAAAAGAAAAUGUAACAAAAGAAGAAAAAAUAAAAGAACAAAAUUAUAAAAUAGAUAAAUUAUUAACAGAAAUGAGUAAAAACGAAAAAAUGAUAGAAAUGUUAAAAAAUGUGAAAAUAAAAAUGGAAAAUGAAAAUAUGAUAUUAAAAAAAAAUUUAUUAAGCACUCAAGAAAGUUUAAAACAAAUAGAAAAAAAUAGUUAUGAUACAUAUGAAAUAAAAUCGUAUUUAGACACUGUUUUAGACCAAAAUAAAAUAUUUCUAAACGAACUGGAAAAAGAAAAAAACGAAAAAGAAACACUUGAAAAAAAUAUAGAAAGUUUAUCUAAUAAAAUAAACAUAUUAAACAUCAAACUAAACACAUAUAAAAAGAAAUGUGAUUUUUUUGCUAACAUAAUAAAAAAUAAUGAAGACCAGUUUAACAUAUAUGAAAAUAAGUUACUAAUGUUGGAACAAUAUUACCAUAAGAAAAGUAAAAAUGGUAGUAUUUUUUUCAAAAAGGAUGAGCUAACGAAAAAAGAAAACAUAUUGGUGGUAGAUGUGAAAACGGAAAACAAUAAUGACAACCAAUUUAAAAACAAACAAGAUGAUGUAUCAUCAUCAUCAUCACCACCACCACCACCACCACCAACAGCAAUAUAUGAUAUUCCCCAUAUAUAUAUACAAAACGAAAUAGAUAUACAUAAAAACCAUUUGUAUAAAAUACAAAAGUUAAUAAAAAUAUUAAAAGAAAAAAAUUUAUUAAUAAAUGAUAAAAAUUAUAAACUAAAAAAAUAUAAAAUGCUAAAUAAACAAUUAGAAAAUAGUUUAAAUAAUUAUAAAAACGAAAUAAAAUGUUUAAAUGAAAAUAUACAUAAUUUAGAAAAAGAAAUACAAAUAAAAGAUAUAAAAAAUAUAAUAGUCCCACCAAAAGUUAUUUUAAAUAUACCUAAAUCUACUUCUUUUGAAAAUAAUUUAAAAACUGAAUUAAAAGAAUUUAUAGGUAGUUCUUCCAUCUUUUUGGAAAACACAUUUAAAUAUAUAAAUGAAAACCCAAUUAAAAAAAACCUACAAUCCAAAACAUUCUUUUCGUCUUCUCCAGCAGAAGAAAGUAAGCAAACGAUUGAUUCGGGCAAUCAAGGCCUCAUUGUCGAUACCAGUGUCAUUACUAAUGCUAAUGAAGACAAACAAAUGUCGAAUAGUUCUUUAGAAAGCUUAACACAUUAUUACAGUAAAGACAUUGGAGAUGUCAAAGAAUAUGCUAAAAAUUUUAUAUAUAAUAAUAUGAACAUGUUACCAGGUUUUAAAA